This 258-nucleotide ribosomal RNA is filed under the name uncultured bacterium. RNAcentral's name for it is "partial 16S ribosomal RNA". It matches the Rfam family "Bacterial small subunit ribosomal RNA", at positions 57 to 305 of the family's 1533-position model. The record is from RNAcentral.
GCAAGUCGAACGAGAACGGGAUAUAGCUUGCUAUAUUUGUCAGCUAAGUGGCGAACGGGUGAGUAAUAUAUAGAUAACAUGCCUCUUAGAAGAGAAUAACAGUUGGAAACGACUGCUAAUACCCUAUACUCCUACUAAACAUAAGUUUAAUAGGGAAACGGUUUAUUCUGCUAAGAGAUUGGUCUGUACGGUAUCAGGUAGUUGGUGAGGUAAGAGCUCACCAAGCCUAUGACGCCUAGCUGGUCUGAGAGGAUGAUC